This 957-nucleotide long non-coding RNA is filed under the name Anas platyrhynchos platyrhynchos (common mallard). RNAcentral's name for it is "lncRNA (ENSAPLG00000016487.1)". The record is from RNAcentral. Lineage: Eukaryota; Metazoa; Chordata; Aves; Anseriformes; Anatidae.
CGGAUGCACACUCAAACCUUCAAGCUGCCGCAAUUAACAGGACAGCUUUUAAUUGGCAAUUACAAUUCCAUUAAGCUGGGUCUGGCAGAUCAUUUGCUCUGUCAGGAAAGCCCUCAGGCAGGGAAGAUUAGUGGCUGGCAGGAUCCGGGCUCCCGCGCUGGAGCUGUGGAGGAAAAGACAGCCAGAAGACCAGUUCUCAUCUCCGAUCAACAGAAAAGUGCAGAUACUAUUGCUCCCCCAGCAGAAUUUCAUGCAGACACAUCGGUGCUCUCCCUGACUUGGAAGAAACCUCCCAAGAACUACAAAGUGCCCUCUUUCCUCUCUUUCCAGUCCCAGAAUAAAAUUCUCAUUUGAUCUGUGCUCUGGGAUGAAGUCAUAUGCCUGCAAGCAGGUUAUUUAACAGGGAACUGAAGAGAAGCUGUCUGGUAUGUGGUAUGCCCUUCAUUCUUCUAAUUAUCUGUAAAAGCCAAAUUUUACCUUUUGUACUCCAGAAGCAGGGACGUGUCCAUAGGAACUUGUUAGGUCCCAGCUGAGACUGCUUGCCUUCUACCUGGGCCCAGGGGUGGGGAGGUGGAACAGCAGAGUUAGCCUUUUCUGAUGUUAGGUGCCCAUCAGUCCAUUAACACAUCACUGGUUUGGGUCCUCGGUGGGCUGUAGAACAGAUGCCUCCUUGGGUCACACCAUAUUUCACUGCCUAUCCCAGGAGUUCAGAAAACUGUCUUAUACAUAGGCAUUUAUACAUAGGAACCCUUAAAAUUAGGAAAGGCUCACCCCACCCUUUGUCCACACACAAGGAGAAGGGAUUUUGUCCAGCAGAAGAAACCACUCUUUGAGCUGGAUCACGUAGCUUGUUCUCUGAAAGCCUCGACUCAAACCUCCCUCUAGUGCAUCCUCUCUUGUCUUCCCCUGCAGCAUGGGGAAUUGUUAUGAACUGUGCUGGGAGCUAAUGCUGGCCUC